GACGAACGCUGGCGGCAUGCUUAACACAUGCAAGUCGAACGGAAAGGCCCUGCUUUUGUGGGGUGCUCGAGUGGCGAACGGGUGAGUAACACGUGAGUAACCUGCCCUUGACUUUGGGAUAACUUCAGGAAACUGGGGCUAAUACCGGAUAGGAGCUCCUGCUGCAUGGUGGGGGUUGGAAAGUUUCGGCGGUUGGGGAUGGACUCGCGGCUUAUCAGCUUGUUGGUGGGGUAGUGGCUUACCAAGGCUUUGACGGGUAGCCGGCCUGAGAGGGUGACCGGCCACAUUGGGACUGAGAUACGGCCCAGACUCCUACGGGAGGCAGCAGUGGGGAAUAUUGCACAAUGGGCGGAAGCCUGAUGCAGCAACGCCGCGUGCGGGAUGACGGCCUUCGGGUUGUAAACCGCUUUCGCCUGUGACGAAGCGUGAGUGACGGUAAUGGGUAAAGAAGCACCGGCUAGCUACGUG
RNAcentral lists this ribosomal RNA (468 nucleotides) under uncultured bacterium. Its description in RNAcentral is "partial 16S ribosomal RNA". It matches the Rfam family "Bacterial small subunit ribosomal RNA", at positions 28 to 507 of the family's 1533-position model. The record is from RNAcentral.